RNAcentral lists this ribosomal RNA (709 nucleotides) under uncultured bacterium. RNAcentral's name for it is "SSU rRNA". It matches the Rfam family "Bacterial small subunit ribosomal RNA", at positions 141 to 865 of the family's 1533-position model. The record is from RNAcentral.
GGAUAGCCUCGGGAAACCGGGAUUAAAACCUCAUAAUACGAAAGCUUCACAUGUUGCUUUCGUCAAAGAUUUAUCGGUAUGGGAUGGGCCUGCGUCUGAUUAGCUAGUUGGUGAGGUAACGGCUCACCAAGGCGACGAUCAGUAGCCGACCUGAGAGGGUAAUCGGCCACAUUGGAACUGAGACACGGUCCAAACUCCUACGGGAGGCAGCAGUGGGGAAUAUUGCACAAUGGGCGAAAGCCUGAUGCAGCAACGCCGCGUGAGCGAUGAAGGCCUUUGGGUCGUAAAGCUCUGUCCUUGGGGAAGAAAAAAACUGACGGUACCCAUGGAGGAAGCCCCGGCUAACUACGUGCCAGCAGCCGCGGUAAUACGUAGGGGGUCAAGCGUUAUCCGGAAUUAUUGGGCGUAAAGAGUGCGUAGGUGGUUAUGUAAGCGCGAGGUGAAAGGCAAUAGCUUAACUAUUGUAAGCCUUGCGAACUGCAUGACUUGAGUGCAGGAGAGGAAAGUGGAAUUCCUAGUGUAGCGGUGAAAUGCGUAGAUAUUAGGAGGAACACCAGUGGCGAAGGCGACUUUCUGGACUGUAACUGACACUGAGGCACGAAAGCGUGGGGAGCAAACAGGAUUAGAUACCCUGGUAGUCCACGCCGUAAACGAUGAGCACUAGGUGUCGGGGUCGCAAGACUUCGGUGCCGCAGUUAACGCAUUAAGU